RNAcentral lists this ribosomal RNA (391 nucleotides) under Lautropia mirabilis. RNAcentral's name for it is "bacterial SSU rRNA". It matches the Rfam family "Bacterial small subunit ribosomal RNA", at positions 105 to 494 of the family's 1533-position model. Lineage: Bacteria; Pseudomonadati; Pseudomonadota; Betaproteobacteria; Burkholderiales; Burkholderiaceae. The record is from RNAcentral.
GGUGAGUAAUACAUCGGAAACGUGCCCAGUAGUGGGGGAUAGUCCGCGAAAGCCGGAUUAAUACCGCAUACGACCUGAGGGUGAAAGCGGGGGAUCUUCGGACCUCGCGCUAUUGGAGCGGCCGAUGGCAGAUUAGCUAGUUGGUGGGGUAAAGGCCUACCAAGGCGACGAUCUGUAGCUGGUCUGAGAGAACGACCAGCCACACUGGGACCGAGACACGGCCCAGACUUCCUACGGGAGGCAGCAGUGGGGAAUUUUGGACAAUGGGCGAAAGCCUGAUCCAGCAAUGCCGCGUGUGUGAUGAAGGGCUUCGGGUGUAAAGCACUUUUGGCGGGAACGAAAAGGACUGUGCCAAUACCACGGUUCGAUGACGACCCGCAGAAUAAACCGG